RNAcentral lists this ribosomal RNA (288 nucleotides) under uncultured bacterium. Its description in RNAcentral is "partial 16S ribosomal RNA". It matches the Rfam family "Bacterial small subunit ribosomal RNA", at positions 775 to 1067 of the family's 1533-position model. The record is from RNAcentral.
GGAUUAGAUACCCUGGUAGUCCACGCUGUAAACGAUGAUCACUAGGUGUUCGGACUUCGGUCUGAGUGCCCAAGCGAAAGCGAUAAGUGAUCCACCUGGGGAGUACGUUCGCAAGAAUGAAACUCAAAGGAAUUGACGGGGGCCCGCACAAGCGGUGGAGCAUGUGGUUUAAUUCGAUGAUACGCGAGGAACCUUACCUGGGCUACAAUGCCUCUGCUACCUGGUGAAAGCUGGGGUUCCUUCGGGACAGAGUGCAAGGUGCUGCAUGGUUGUCGUCAGCUCGUGUUG